RNAcentral lists this ribosomal RNA (484 nucleotides) under uncultured bacterium. RNAcentral describes it as "partial 16S ribosomal RNA". It matches the Rfam family "Bacterial small subunit ribosomal RNA", at positions 30 to 507 of the family's 1533-position model. The record is from RNAcentral.
AUUGAACGCUGGCGGCAGGCCUAACACAUGCAAGUCGAGCGGAUGAAGGGAGCUUGCUCCUGGAUUCAGCGGCGGACGGGUGAGUAAUGCCUAGGAAUCUGCCUGGUAGUGGGGGAUAACGUCCGGAAACGGGCGCUAAUACCGCAUACGUCCUGAGGGAGAAAGUGGGGGAUCUUCGGACCUGACGCUAUCAGAUGAGCCUAGGUCGGAUUAGCUAGUUGGUGGGGUAAAGGCCUACCAAGGCAACGAUCCGUAACUGGUCUGAGAGGAUGAUCAGUCACACUGGAACUGAGACACGGUACAGACUCCUACGGGAGGCAGCAGUGGGGAAUAUUGGACAAUGGGCGAAAGCCUGAUCCAGCCCAGCCGCGUGUGUGAAGAAGGUCUUCGGAUUGUAAAGCACUUUAAGUUGGGAGGAAGGGCAGUAAGUUAAUACCUUGCUGUUUUGACGUUACCAACAGAAUAAGCACCGGCUAACUUCGUG